CUUAGAAACAUAGAAAAUGUCCACAUAGGCACGGGCUCCAAGCAAACGGGUCCUCCUUUGUGUACGACUAGGAGCUAGAAACCAUCAGCCACAACAUUCUCUCUUGCUCAUUCUCCAAAUAAGUUUGGUGGGGACAUUCUUGCGAGACUAGGACAAAACAUACCACAUAUGAGUAGGGUUUCCCAUCCCUUCCCUUCCCUCAAGGGCGACCACACCGACACCCUAGCUCCACCCCUCCCUGCCUCCCCUUUGGUCGUCGUCGCUACCCUCUGGCAUGUGGCGACCCACGAUAGACCCAAAAAAGAGCAUCAGUUCACGUCUCCCCCUCCCUCCCCCCUCUUCAACUUCGACAAUAGACAGAUGGAUCCGAGCCCCUAGGGGCUAGAUAUAGCGUCUGGUAGCUACGCUCAGCCUUUCGCCCAUCCAACCUCCUCCUCAAUGGCGGCCAGCGGUGGCUUCAUCCAGAUGGCCGAAAGCGGCUCUAGGGCCGUGCGUGCUUGCCUCCAACGGUGGCUGCCUGGCCGAAUUUGGGCCCAUGGGGGAAUCUGGCGCUAGCCGUGACUAGUCUGUCGUCCACCCUCUCCUCCUCAACAACGCUAGGUGGAGGAUGCUGGCCAACAGCCACCCACGCUAGGUGGAGGAUGCUGGCCUUGGACAGUGCUAGCCUGGCUACGCCUAGCGGCAGCAACCUGGCUGUGGCUGGUGGUGGCGGUCGGGCUAGGCCUUGGCUUGGCGAGGCCAUGUUCGGCACCCCAGCGGCAGCUAGAUCUGGCAACUAAGGUGUGCACCCGACUUUGCUGCUGGCGGUGGUCGUUUAGCGCUAGAGGCUUUGGCCUUGCCUCUCUAGUGCAUUUCAGGGCAGACAGUGGUGGCCUAUGCUGAGUCGGCCGGUUAGGCGAUCAUUUUUUGGGUGAAAACUCUGUCUAGUAUCUUGCUUCAGGGCCACUGGCAGUGGUAUAGAUGGUGCCAUCUAUCUUCUAUGUUGAAGUUUAUGUUCAUUGUGCAGGUCAUUAGGGGUGGUUCGAGGAAGAAAGUCCUUCUUGCGCAAUGUUGUUGGCAUAGGUGGAUAUCAUCCCCUUCUUAGAGCCUUUGUUGCAUUGGAGCACUUGUAUUGUCGUCUCGCCUCUCUUGCCGGAGUUGCUCAUAGUUGUGUUGUGACUGCGUGUGAUUCAACUCUUUCUUUGCUUUGGUCUGUCCAGCUCGGCCGUUUGGUGUAGUUAUAGUGCUUUGGUUCAUAGUGGAUACUUGGCUGCUUGUGCUCUUUCUCGACGAAUGCUUUGUCGUCAUUGCUUCUUGAGCGGAUACUUUGUCGUCGAUGUUGCUCCUGUCUUGCAGAUACUUUGCCCCAUGAUCUUUGACGGAUGCUUUGUCGUCGUGCUGCUUGUUGAUCUUGUUCGGACAAAUAUUUUGUCGUCAUAGUCGUCUCUUUUGGUUGAUGGCUUCAUCUCCCCUGUUGGCAGCCUCUGUGUUGUUAUUUCCCUUUAGGCCAGGUUGUGGCGGAGGGCCCUCUCCCUAGUCCCUACUGUGCUUCUUUCUUUCUCGUGUG
This 1546-nucleotide long non-coding RNA is filed under the name Sorghum bicolor (sorghum). Its description in RNAcentral is "long non-coding RNA (SBIC_LNC016773)". Lineage: Eukaryota; Viridiplantae; Streptophyta; Magnoliopsida; Poales; Poaceae. The record is from RNAcentral.